UACGUAGGGGGCUCGCGUUGUCCGGAAUCAUUGGGCGUACGGAGCGUGUAGGCGGUCCGGUAAGUCCGCUGUGAAAGUCGGGGGCUCAACCCUCGAAUGCCGGUGGAUACUGUCGGGCUAGAGUGCGGAAGAGGCGAGUGGAAUUCCUGGUGUAGCGGUGAAAUGCGCAGAUAUCAGGAGGAACACCUAUUGCGAAGGCAGCUCGCUGGGACGUAACUGACGCUGAGACGCGAAAGCGUGGGGAGCAAACAGG
This 253-nucleotide ribosomal RNA is filed under the name uncultured bacterium. RNAcentral describes it as "partial 16S ribosomal RNA". It matches the Rfam family "Bacterial small subunit ribosomal RNA", at positions 524 to 776 of the family's 1533-position model. The record is from RNAcentral.